UGGGGGAUACAUUUUUUCUUUUCUUUUUCGGGUUGGGGUCAAUAUGCAACAGCAUAGUGUAUUGCACAAAAUCAACAAAAAAGGGGGUAUUUUAUUUUUAUUUUUCGAGGGGGUGGGACAAUUCGCAACAGCAAAGUGCAAAACCAAAAAAAUAAGUAUCAAUUCAAAUUAUAUAAUCAGUUUUAAGUUCCUCGACUACAGUUAUUCUGUGUCAGAAACCUAUUAUGUGUCAAAUAUUAAAUUACAUUUCAAAUUCAGACCUGUAUCAAGCGUGAAUAUUGUGUCCAUUUUUGUCUGAGCGGUUAAAAAACCUUUAACGGGUUGGACCUCUGCGGUCAUAUCCAGCUGCGUUCGGCAAAGCAAUUUAUUUAACCCUUAAAAUAUAUACAUAUUAAGUUGUGAAUAUGAUGAAAAUGAUAAUCAAAAUAAGUUUAAAUUGCCCUGGUGUGGAAUAACUUUGUGGUAAAUUGAUCAUACUUCUUAAUUUCAUUAUUUCAAUCAGUUAUAAAUUUUGUAUACUGCCUUAAUGAUAACAUGACUUUAAUAACUGUUUAAAUUUGUUUGCUGAGCACUAUCAAUUAUGCCUGUAUUCGGUAAUUUCCGCUAAAAAAA
This 612-nucleotide long non-coding RNA is filed under the name Mytilus galloprovincialis (Mediterranean mussel). Lineage: Eukaryota; Metazoa; Mollusca; Bivalvia; Mytilida; Mytilidae. The record is from RNAcentral.